AUGGGCAGGUGGGUUAGGAUAAAAGAAUGUCCACUUCAAAGGCAAAAAGGUAUUGGAUACAGAACAUGCUUCAUAAAAUAAUUGGAAGCUAUCAAGUAUUUUACCUCUUUGAAAACGGUUGCUGCUUUAAAGGCGACAUUUUUUUCUUUAGCCAAAAUAGCAUAAUUGUGUAUCAAAGAGCCUAAUCAUAACUCUAAGCUUCACUGUGAAGAGUGAAAAUGUUAGCUAAUUUCUUAAGCAUUUUCCUUUUCUGAAUAUUUGUUAUUUGUGGGUGUGAGUAUUGCUGAUUCAGUGGAAUGCCUCUCUUUCCCACUCCCACACUGAUCUCUCUUUGACCUCCUUCAAAGCUGUGAAGAGGCCUAACUCAAACUGGAAGAAGAACAUCUCAUAUUUUUGUUAGAUAAUUUACAACCCAAAAAUAUGAACAGAAGAUUUUCCAAUUUCAGUUAAACCAGUGCUCUCCUCAUCCGUCCAUCACGUUUUCUUCUCCCUCUGUUUUCCUCUCUAAUCUCUUUCCCCACCCCCAAAUCUGGUUCCAACUUACCAACAUUUCUUCCACACCUGAUUCCACCUACCACAUACCAGCCUCCAACCUACGCUCCCUUGUAUAGCUAUACCCUGGCAAUCUUUUGUCUCUCUUCUUUUGUCCAAAUUGAUCAUUUGAGUUAUUCUAGUAUACUGUUUCUUUUUCUUUGUGAUCAAAUUCAUAACUCCCCAAUUCCCAUGAAAAUUGGGUCUUGCUUCAAGUCAAACACCUCUGGCGUGGGAUCUGAGAGGCAAAUCCAUAGCGUAAAGCCGUGAGCCUUGCAGACUAUGCUCUUCUACAAGACUCCAAUUGGAUGCCACUUUACCUGGGAUUCUGAAUGUGUCACUGUGCUCCAGACUUUCUCAUUACCAGCACACCCAGAGACAUCCCUGACAUUUCCACUUUAAAGUCUAAAUUUGGCUCUACCCAUUAUUAAGAUGUUUAGAGAGAUAAAUUUGUACUCUUUUAAACUCUAAAUAAUCCAGGUUUACUCUACCCAGCCUUCUUUUAAUUCACUCUUUCAAGGAAUCCAUCACAUUAAAUUCUUUAGAUUUUUUUUUCAUAGUUAGAUAUGAGCUUAAGUAUUUUCUCACGUGUAAACUCCAAGUGCCUCUGUGCCUUCUGGUUUCCAGGAUCCCUGAUUUCUUUUUCUCUCAGCAAAGGAUGAAAACAAAGUUGUGAACAUUGGCUUCACGUCAAGCAGCAACCCCUGUGUGCCCGACCACUCAGCUCAUUCUACAAUGCUUUCGGGAGUGAAUGUGGUUAAGUUAUAAUGAAGGCUCAAGCAUCAGACCCCAAUGCACUUUCAUCAGGGGAUCCUCCGGUAAUAAUCAAAGGCAGCUUCUUGAAUCAACACAUUUACUUCAUCUGCGUAUGCUGAGGCUGGAUCAGGGUGAUCUUCUCUGUACUUUCCUCUGUAGACAUCUGGAGAUGGUGCCUAGGAGAAGUGCUUUUCAAAGGAUGCUGGCUAUCGCAAAGACUUACGCCAGCAGCAACCAGCCAGUCACCAGCCACUUCCAUUACCCAGCGUCACGUCACGUUCCAGGUGAUGAGGCUGACUGAUGAAGGCUGAGCUGUGGAUGUUGUCUACAUGGCUUUUAGUAAAGCAUUUGACGAAGUCCCUCCGAAGAGUCUCAUCCACAAGAUUAAGAUCCAUAGGGUCCAUGGUGAAUUGGUUAUCUGGAUUCAGAAUUGGCUUACCUGUAGGAGACAGAGACUAGUGCUCAACAAGACUUAGUCUGGUGGAAGUCUGUGACUUCUGGUUCCACAGGGAACUCUACUGGAACCUCUGCUGUUAUAUAUGAGACAUAGGAGCAGAAUUAGGCCAUCUGGCCCAUCGAGUCUGCUCCACCAUUCAAUCAUGGCUGAUCCUUUUUUUUUCUCCACCUCAACCCAUUUCCUGGCCCUCUCCCUGUAACCCUUGAUGCCAUGUCCAAUCAAGAACCUAGCAAUGUCUGCCUUAAAUACUCCCAAUGACCUGGCCUCCACAGCUGCAUGUGGCAACAAAUUCCACAAAUUCACCACCCUUUGGCUGAAGAAAAACCUGGAUGAUAUACACAAAUAAAUGACCUGGAUGAAAAUUAUAGAUGGGUGAGUAUGUAAAUUUCCAGAUGAUACGGAGAUUACUGGUGUUGUGGAGAGUGUAGAAAACUGGAAAAGCUAUAGCGGGAUAUAGAUCUCUUAUGGAUAUGGGAGAAGAAAUGACAGGUGGAGUUUAACCCAGACAAACAUAAGGUGUGAGAUCAAAUAUAAAGACAAGGACAAUGGCAACGGAAAGGCCUUUAGCAAUGUUGAUGGACAAAGGGAUCUUGGGGAGGAUGGAGGAACUUGGGCGGCCGAGGCUGGAGGGAGAUCUGGUCAAAGUUUAUACAAUUAUGAGAGGUGUGGACAGAGUAGACAGCCUCUUUUACCCUGGACUGAAAUACUGAAAUGUCUACUACCAGAAGGCAUGCAUUUAAGGUGGGGGCAGGGGCAAGUUCAAAGCAGGUGUGCGGGGCAAGUUUUUAUUUUACACAGAGAGAGGUGGGUGCUUGGAAAGCACUGCCUGGGGUGAUAGUGGACGUAAAUUUGACAGGGUAUUCCAGAGCCUCUUGGAUGUACAUGAAUGGAAGGAUAUGGACAUUGAGCAGGCAAAAGAGAUUUGUUUUGUUGUGUAUUUGAUUACUAAUUUAAUUGGUUCAGCACAGCACUGUGGAGCUGAAGGGCCUGUCCCUGUACUGUACUGGUCAGUGCUCUAUCAAGCAGGGUCAGUAGUGAUCAGCAGACUCUCUUUAAAUAAUAACAUCUGCCUCCCCUCCACCGCCGAGGAGAAUUGCUUGAGAAGCAAUGUGCUACCAUUGCCCUGAACAGCUUCAGCUGAAAUUCCUCUUCUGUGUUCCGGGGAGCUUGUUGAACAACCAUGCACUGAAGCUGAAUUCAUAACUUAAUAUGCUCUGAAUAGUAAUGAGAUGUUCAUUAUAAAAGGAUUCAGUCCGGUGGGGCGGGGGGGGGCAGCUGCAGCCUGCGUUUAUGUAAACAGUCACGUGUACUGAGGUACAGUGACAAACUUUCUUUGCCUGCCGACCAUACAGAUUGUUGCAUUACAACAGGACAUGGAGGUGAGUGGAUCUGCAGAGAGCAGCUUGCAAACAGUCGCCACGCUCUGGCAUCAUCUUCAAAGCAGUACCCUCGGUGAACUGCUCUCAGGGGCCUCUCAGGAGCCGCCAAACAAAAUCACAUCAAACAAAGAGAUCUCCCUAACCUUCUCAAUUGCUGCCCUUCUUCUGGGGCGAGGAGCCCAGAGUUGGACUUUGGCAAUUGCCAGCAUGAAUGCCCAUGAUGCAACAAGAUUAGAGAUGUGUAAGAGGCCAAGGCUGACAGAGCUCUUUGGGCUGAGGACAAAGGGGAUGAGCUUUACAAGUUCCAAUAUUGCACAACCUUAACUGUAAAGAAAUUUUUUUUUCAGAAUACUUUCAGUAACCAUCUCCCCAAACACUGGCAAUUUCAGCUACUUGGUUAGACAUUCAUUUUACGUAUGUCAAGAAAAUUGCAAGUACAAUGCAAAAUUACUGUUACGAUAUGAAGUAAAAUAAAUAAAUAGAAUAAAAGGCAAAAUCCCAACAUAUGCAGAGAGAAAAACUUCUCCACUAAUCUCAUCCUUUCAAACCUUCAAAAGCCAACAAAGGUUUUGCCAAGUGUUCUUGUAUCCUUUGUUAUAGUAGCUUUUGCCACCUCCUUCAAUAAAGGAGGUUUAUAUAAAUGCAAACAACAGGAAUUCUGCAGAUGCUGGAAAUUCAA
This is a long non-coding RNA of Mobula hypostoma (lesser devil ray), 3802 nucleotides long. RefSeq lists it as uncharacterized. The transcript has 4 exons. The record is from RefSeq and is a predicted model, not a curated record. NCBI's taxonomy places the organism in Eukaryota, Metazoa, Chordata, Chondrichthyes, Myliobatiformes, Myliobatidae.